This 685-nucleotide ribosomal RNA is filed under the name Bacillus sp. (in: firmicutes). Its description in RNAcentral is "bacterial SSU rRNA". It matches the Rfam family "Bacterial small subunit ribosomal RNA", at positions 84 to 755 of the family's 1533-position model. Lineage: Bacteria; Bacillati; Bacillota; Bacilli; Caryophanales; Bacillaceae. The record is from RNAcentral.
UUCGGGGCCUAGCGGCGGACGGGUGAGUAACACGUGGGUAACCUGCCUGUAAGACUGGGAUAACUUCGGGAAACCGAAGCUAAUACCGGAUAAUUUCGAGCAUCGCAUGAUGCUUGAUGGAAAGGCGGCUUCGGCUGUCACUUACAGAUGGACCCGCGUCGCAUUAGCUAGUUGGUGAGGUAACGGCUCACCAAGGCGACGAUGCGUAGCCGACCUGAGAGGGUGAUCGGCCACACUGGGACUGAGACACGGCCCAGACUCCUACGGGAGGCAGCAGUAGGGAAUCUUCGGCAAUGGGCGAAAGCCUGACCGAGCAACGCCGCGUGAGCGAUGAAGGCCUUCGGGUCGUAAAGCUCUGUUGUUAAGGAAGAACAAGUACGAGAGUAACUGCUCGUACCUUGACGGUACUUAACGAGAAAGCCACGGCUAACUACGUGCCAGCAGCCGCGGUAAUACGUAGGUGGCGAGCGUUAUCCGGAAUUAUUGGGCGUAAAGCGCGCGCAGGCGGUUUCUUAAGUCUGAUGUGAAAGCCCACGGCUCAACCGUGGAGGGUCAUUGGAAACUGGGAAACUUGAGUGCAGAAGAGGAAAGCGGAAUUCCACGUGUAGCGGUGAAAUGCGUAGAGAUGUGGAGGAACACCAGUGGCGAAGGCGGCUUUCUGGUCUGUAACUGACGCUGAGGCGCG